Molecule: ribosomal RNA, 639 nt
Filed under: Triticum aestivum (bread wheat)
Lineage: Eukaryota; Viridiplantae; Streptophyta; Magnoliopsida; Poales; Poaceae
Description: partial small subunit ribosomal RNA
Source: RNAcentral
AUGGCCGGCGGUGAAGAGCUGAAGCUGCUGGGGUGGGGGGCGCCUGGGGUAAGCCCCUUCGUGCUGCGCGCACAGAUGGCGCUCGCCGUAAAGGGGCUAAGCUACAAGUACCUCCCGGAGGACCGCUGGUGCAAGAGCGACCUCCUCGUCGCGUCAAACCCCGUGUACAAGAAGGUGCCCGUCCUCAUCCACAACGGCAAGCUCAUCUGCGAGUCGCUGCUCAUCGUGGAGUACCUCGACGACGCCCUCGGCCUUCCUGGCAACGGCAAGCCCAUCCUCCCCGCAGACCCCUACAGCCGCGCCGUCGCUCGCUUCUGGGCCGCCUAUGCGAACGACAAGGUUAGUAGUUCAUUUCAUACACGGAUUACCUCCCGUUGCGCUUGGAGUUACAUCUCUCAGUCUCAACUCGCUUUGUUGCCACAGCUAUUCCCUUCGUGCAUCGGCAUCCUCAGGACAGCGAAGCAGGAGGAGAAAGCCAGUAAGGUGGAGGAGACCCUAUCGGGGCUCCAACACUUGGAAGGUGUCCUGGCAGAGUGCUCCAAAGGGAGGCAGAGGCCGAGGCGCCGUUCUUCGGUGGUGGCUCCAUCGGGUUCCUUGACAUCGCGCUCGGGUGCUACCUUCCCUGGUUUGAGGCAGUAG